AUACGGAAGGUCCGGGCGUUAUCCGGAUUUAUUGGGUUUAAAGGGAGCGCAGGCGGAGAUGCAAGCGUGACGUCAAAUUUCGGGGCUCAACCCCGUCUCGCGUCGCGAACUGCGUCCCUUGGUUGCGGGAAGGGGAGGCGGAACUCGUGGUGUAGCGGUGAAAUGCAUAGAUAUCACGAAGAACUCCGAUCGCGAAGGCAGCCUUCCGGCCCGUCAACGACGCUCAUGCUCGAAGGUGCGGGUAUCAAACAGGAUUAGAUACCCUGGUAGUCCGCACAGUAAACGAUGGACACCCGCGGUUUGGCCUAUAUGGUUGAGCCGCCAAGCGAAAGCGUUAAGUGUCCCACCUGGGGAGUACGCCGGCAACGGUGAAACUCAAAUGAAUUGACGGGG
This 393-nucleotide ribosomal RNA is filed under the name uncultured bacterium. Its description in RNAcentral is "partial 16S ribosomal RNA". It matches the Rfam family "Bacterial small subunit ribosomal RNA", at positions 523 to 918 of the family's 1533-position model. The record is from RNAcentral.